AGAGUUUGAUCCUGGCUCAGGCCUAACACAUGCAAGUCGAGCGGAAACGAGUUAUCUGAACCUUCGGGGAACGAUAACGGCGUCGAGCGGCGGACGGGUGAGUAAUGCCUAGGAAAUUGCCCUGAUGUGGGGGAUAACCAUUGGAAACGAUGGCUAAUACCGCAUAAUGCCUACGGGCCAAAGAGGGGGACCUUCGGGCCUCUCGCGUCAGGAUAUGCCUAGGUGGGAUUAGCUAGUUGGUGAGGUAAGGGCUCACCAAGGCGACGAUCCCUAGCUGGUCUGAGAGGAUGAUCAGCCACACUGGAACUGAGACACGGUCCAGACUCCUACGGGAGGCAGCAGUGGGGAAUAUUGCACAAUGGGCGCAAGCCUGAUGCAGCCAUGCCGCGUGUGUGAAGAAGGCCUUCGGGUUGUAAAGCACUUUCAGUCGUGAGGAAGGUAGUGUAGUUAAUAGCUGCAUUAUUUGACGUUAGCGACAGAAGAAGCACCGGCUAACUCCGUGCCAGCAGCCGCGGUAAUACGGAGGGUGCGAGCGUUAAUCGGAAUUACUGGGCGUAAAGCGCAUGCAGGUGGUUUGUUAAGUCAGAUGUGAAAGCCCGGGGCUCAACCUCGGAAUAGCAUUUGAAACUGGCAGACUAGAGUACUGUAGAGGGGGGUAGAAUUUCAGGUGUAGCGGUGAAAUGCGUAGAGAUCUGAAGGAAUACCGGUGGCGAAGGCGGCCCCCUGGACAGAUACUGACACUCAGAUGCGAAAGCGUGGGGAGCAAACAGGAUUAGAUACCCUGGUAGUCCACGCCGUAAACGAUGUCUACUUGGAGGUUGUGGCCUUGAGCCGUGGCUUUCGGAGCUAACGCGUUAAGUAGACCGCCUGGGGAGUACGGUCGCAAGAUUAAAACUCAAAUGAAUUGACGGGGGCCCGCACAAGCGGUGGAGCAUGUGGUUUAAUUCGAUGCAACGCGAAGAACCUUACCUACUCUUGACAUCCAGAGAACUUUCCAGAGAUGGAUUGGUGCCUUCGGGAACUCUGAGACAGGUGCUGCAUGGCUGUCGUCAGCUCGUGUUGUGAAAUGUUGGGUUAAGUCCCGCAACGAGCGCAACCCUUAUCCUUGUUUGCCAGCGAGUAAUGUCGGGAACUCCAGGGAGACUGCCGGUGAUAAACCGGAGGAAGGUGGGGACGACGUCAAGUCAUCAUGGCCCUUACGAGUAGGGCUACACACGUGCUACAAUGGCGCAUACAGAGGGCAGCAAGCUAGCGAUAGUGAGCGAAUCCCAAAAAGUGCGUCGUAGUCCGGAUUGGAGUCUGCAACUCGACUCCAUGAAGUCGGAAUCGCUAGUAAUCGUGGAUCAGAAUGCCACGGUGAAUACGUUCCCGGGCCUUGUACACACCGCCCGUCACACCAUGGGAGUGGGCUGCAAAAGAAGUAGGUAGUUUAACCUUCGGGAGGACGCUUACCACUUUGUGGUUCAUGACUGGGGUGAAGUCGUAACAAGGUADC
RNAcentral lists this ribosomal RNA (1495 nucleotides) under Vibrio sp. MY-2008-Teta3. RNAcentral describes it as "bacterial SSU rRNA". It matches the Rfam family "Bacterial small subunit ribosomal RNA". Lineage: Bacteria; Pseudomonadati; Pseudomonadota; Gammaproteobacteria; Vibrionales; Vibrionaceae. The record is from RNAcentral.